Molecule: ribosomal RNA, 802 nt
Filed under: uncultured bacterium
Lineage: Bacteria
Description: bacterial SSU rRNA
Rfam family: Bacterial small subunit ribosomal RNA
Source: RNAcentral
AGAGUUUGAUCCUGGCUCAGGAUGAACGCUGGCGGCGUGCUUAACACAUGCAAGUCGAACGAAGCACUUUAUUUGAUUUCCUUCGGGAUUGAUUAUUUUGUGACUGAGUGGCGGACGGGUGAGUAACGCGUGGGUAACCUGCCUUGUACAGGGGGAUAACAGUUGGAAACGGCUGCUAAUACCGCAUAAGCGCACAGUAUCGCAUGAUGCAGUGUGAAAAACUCCGGUGGUAUAAGAUGGACCCGCGUUGGAUUAGCUAGUUGGUGAGGUAACGGCCCACCGAGGCAACGAUCCAUAGCCGACCUGAGAGGGUGACCGGCCACAUUGGGACUGAGACACGGCCCAAACUCCUACGGGAGGCAGCAGUGGGGAAUAUUGCACAAUGGGCGAAAGCCUGAUGCAGCGACGCCGCGUGAGCGAAGAAGUAUUUCGGUAUGUAAAGCUCUAUCAGCAGGGAAGAUAAUGACGGUACCUGACUAAGAAGCACCGGCUAAAUACGUGCCAGCAGCCGCGGUAAUACGUAUGGUGCAAGCGUUAUCCGGAUUUACUGGGUGUAAAGGGAGCGCAGGCGGUGCGGCAAGUCUGAUGUGAAAGCCCGGGGCUCAACCCCGGUACUGCAUUGGAAACUGUCGUACUAGAGUGUCGGAGGGGUAAGCGGAAUUCCUAGUGUAGCGGUGAAAUGCGUAGAUAUUAGGAGGAACACCAGUGGCGAAGGCGGCUUACUGGACGAUAACUGACGCUGAGGCUCGAAAGCGUGGGGAGCAAACAGGAUUAGAUACCCUGGUAGUCCACGCCGUAAACG